RNAcentral lists this long non-coding RNA (336 nucleotides) under Mustela putorius furo (domestic ferret). Its description in RNAcentral is "lncRNA (ENSMPUG00000031064.1)". Lineage: Eukaryota; Metazoa; Chordata; Mammalia; Carnivora; Mustelidae. The record is from RNAcentral.
UUUUAAUCUCCUGCUGCGGGCGGCAGACAUGGGAGAGACAGACGAGCUGCAAAGGGAAGUCGAUGAAAUGAAAUUAAAGCCCUACAACUGUGUUCCUGUCAAUGUAGAUGGGGGUCCCCCCUCCUCGGUUUGCUCACAGAGGUGGGUGUGAGAACCUAUAGGAGUGUCUGGAAGAGAUCCUGUGGAAGUCAUUUUGCCCAGAGCUGGAGGAGAAGCAAAAGCUGUCGUGAUGUGGAUUCAUCAAGAGAAGGUUUGCCACACAUGUUGGGGAGCAGAGAGGCAAGCACCAUGCCUUCCUGGAGACGGAAGAAGAUUGAGCGAGAUUACAUCUCAUUG